This 403-nucleotide ribosomal RNA is filed under the name uncultured Rhodoferax sp. Its description in RNAcentral is "bacterial SSU rRNA". It matches the Rfam family "Bacterial small subunit ribosomal RNA", at positions 981 to 1382 of the family's 1533-position model. Lineage: Bacteria; Pseudomonadati; Pseudomonadota; Betaproteobacteria; Burkholderiales; Comamonadaceae. The record is from RNAcentral.
UUGACAUGUACGGAAGCCUUUAGAGAUAGAGGCGUGCUCGAAAGAGAGCCGUAACACGAGGUGCUGCAUGGCUGUCGUCAGCUCGUGUCGUGAGAUGUUGGGUUAAGUCCCGCAACGAGCGCAACCCUUGUCAUUAGUUGCUACAUUCAGUUGGGCACUCUAAUGAGACUGCCGGUGACAAGCCGGAGGAAGGUGGGGAUGACGUCAAGUCCUCAUUGGCCCUUAUAGGUGGGGCUACACACGUCAUACAAUGGCUGGUACAAAGGGUUGCCAACCCGGCGAGGGGAGCUAAUCCCACAAAGCCAGUCGUAGUCCGGAUCGUAGUCUGCAACUCGACUACGUGAAGUCGGAAUCGCUAGUAAUCGUGGAUCAGAAUGUCACGGUGAAUACGUUCCCGGGUCUU